UAUACAUGAUGUAUGGCCGUGUAUAUUGGUGAGUUGUGGAAGAAUAAUGAGCAAGUUAUAUUUAAUGUUUUAGUUAUUGUGUUGUAGAUUUUAUAUUGCAAAUAAAGGAUUGAUAAGUUUGGUGAAGUAUUGAUAAUUGGAAGAUUAUGUAUAUUGAAAGACAAUGUUCUUGCAUGGGUAGUAUGAAAUGGUAUUAGUAUGACGUUGUUGGAAUAUAUAUUAUAAGGUUGCUAUUGUGUUCAUUGAAGUCGGAAGGUUUUGAAGAAAGUAGUAAAUUGAGAUCAUGCAUUUUGAAUGGAAUAUGUGAAUUGCUAGUGUGAUUGUUGAAUUAUGUUAAUAGUUUGGCCGGGUUUGAAUUCCCGGAUUGUGAUUGAUGAGAAAUUUGGCUAUAUUGAAUGUUGAGGAUGGUAUAUUGACAGAGGAAGUGCUGCCGAAAUUUCGGUAGCCAAGUGUUUCCUUAAGAUUCUAACUCUAAGAACCCUAAUAAGAGUUUUGGUAAACAUGACCAAUUUGCAGAUUUUGACGAGAUUGCGACGUGAAUUUGGAAUAGCAAAAGGAGCGGAAAGAGGUCAGCAGACAGGCGGAUUUGAUCUUUAGGAGCUCUACCAGCCGUACUUGACAGCGCUCCAGUUGUUCCGGAGCCUCACUUCCUUGGUACUAUUUUGUGUAUCUAUUUUCGGGCACGACAGCACUCGGCCCUUUCUAUGUAUAAGUGUACUAUGUCUAGAGGCUCGUAGACAGAUAUGUACAGUCAGUUAUGUACAGUUAAAUAUGUGGUAUUUUGGCAUCUUAAUGCUGUUGUAUGAAGCGAUAGCGAAGCUAACUGAUCUAUGUUCAUAAUGACGCUGCUAAUGUUAAUGUU
Molecule: long non-coding RNA, 862 nt
Organism: Lycium ferocissimum
Lineage: Eukaryota; Viridiplantae; Streptophyta; Magnoliopsida; Solanales; Solanaceae
Exons: 2
Source: RefSeq, a predicted model, not a curated record